AUUGAACGCUGGCGGCAGGCCUAACACAUGCAAGUCGAGCGGAUGAAGGGAGCUUGCUCCUGGAUUCAGCGGCGGACGGGUGAGUAAUGCCUAGGAAUCUGCCUGGUAGUGGGGGAUAACGUCCGGAAACGGGCGCUAAUACCGCAUACGUCCUGAGGGAGAAAGUGGGGGAUCUUCGGACCUCACGCUAUCAGAUGAGCCUAGGUCGGAUUAGCUAGUUGGUGGGGUAAAGGCCUACCAAGGCGACGAUCCGUAACUGGUCUGAGAGGAUGAUCAGUCACACUGGAAGUGAGACAGGGUCCAGACUCCUACGGGAGGCAGCAGUGGGGAAUAUUGGACGAGGGGCGAAAGCGUGAUCCAGCAAUGCCGGGUGUGUGAAGAAGGUCUUCGGAUGGGAAAGCACUUUAAGUUGGGAGGAAGGGAAGUAAGUUAAUACCUUGCUGUUUUGACGUUACCAACAGAAUAAGCACCGGCUAACUUCGUG
This 484-nucleotide ribosomal RNA is filed under the name uncultured bacterium. RNAcentral's name for it is "partial 16S ribosomal RNA". It matches the Rfam family "Bacterial small subunit ribosomal RNA", at positions 30 to 507 of the family's 1533-position model. The record is from RNAcentral.